AGAGUUUGAUCCUGGCUCAGAACGAACGCUGGCGGCGUGGAUAAGACAUGCAAGUCGAACGAGAGAAUUGCUAGCUUGCUAAUAAUUCUCUAGUGGCGCACGGGUGAGUAACACGUGAGUAACCUGCCCCCGAGAGCGGGAUAGCCCUGGGAAACUGGGAUUAAUACCGCAUAGUAUCGAAAGAUUAAAGCAGCAAUGCGCUUGGGGAUGGGCUCGCGGCCUAUUAGUUAGUUGGUGAGGUAACGGCUCACCAAGGCGAUGACGGGUAGCCGGUCUGGGAGGAUGUCCGGCCACACUGGAACUGAGACACGGUCCAGACACCUACGGGUGGCAGCAGUCGAGAAUCAUCCACAAUGGGGGAAACCCUGAUGGUGCGACGCCGCGUGGGGGAAUGAAGGUCUUCGGAUUGUAAACCCCUGUCAUGUGGGAGCAAAUUAAAAAGAUAGUACCACAAGAGGAAGAGACGGCUAACUCUGUGCCAGCAGCCGCGGUAAUACAGAGGUCUCAAGCGUUGUUCGGAAUCACUGGGCGUAAAGCGUGCGUAGGCUGUUUCGUAAGUCGUGUGUGAAAGGCGCGGGCUCAACCCGCGGACGGCACAUGAUACUGCGAGACUAGAGUAAUGGAGGGGGAACCGGAAUUCUCGGUGUAGCAGUGAAAUGCGUAGAUAUCGAGAGGAACACUCGUGGCGAAGGCGGGUUCCUGGACAUUAACUGACGCUGAGGCACGAAGGCCAGGGGAGCGAAAGGGAUUAGAUACCCCUGUAGUCCUGGCAGUAAACGGUGCACGCUUGGUGUGCGGGGAAUCGACCCCCUGCGUGCCGGAGCUAACGCGUUAAGCGUGCCGCCUGGGGAGUACGGUCGCAAGAUUAAAACUCAAAGAAAUUGACGGGGACCCGCACAAGCGGUGGAGUAUGUGGCUUAAUUCGAUGCAACGCGAAGAACCUUACCUGGGCUUGACAUGUAAUGAACAACAUGUGAAAGCAUGCGACUCUUCGGAGGCGUUACACAGGUGCUGCAUGGCCGUCGUCAGCUCGUGUCGUGAGAUGUUUGGUUAAGUCCAGCAACGAGCGCAACCCCUGUUGCCAGUUACCAGCACGUGAAGGUGGGGACUCUGGCGAGACUGCCCAGAUCAACUGGGAGGAAGGUGGGGACGACGUCAGGUCAGUAUGGCCCUUAUGCCCAGGGCUGCACACGUACUACAAUGCCCAGUACAGAGGGGGCCGAAGCCGCGAGGCGGAGGAAAUCCUAAAAACUGGGCCCAGUUCGGACUGUAGGCUGCAACCCGCCUACACGAAGCCGGAAUCGCUAGUAAUGGCGCAUCAGCUACGGCGCCGUGAAUACGUUCCCGGGUCUUGCACUCACCGCCCGUCA
RNAcentral lists this ribosomal RNA (1370 nucleotides) under uncultured bacterium. RNAcentral describes it as "bacterial SSU rRNA". It matches the Rfam family "Bacterial small subunit ribosomal RNA". The record is from RNAcentral.